Molecule: ribosomal RNA, 515 nt
Filed under: uncultured Gemmatimonadota bacterium
Lineage: Bacteria; Pseudomonadati; Gemmatimonadota
Description: bacterial SSU rRNA
Rfam family: Bacterial small subunit ribosomal RNA
Source: RNAcentral
GAGUUUGAUCGUGGCUCAGAAUUAACGCUGGCAGAGUGCAUAACACAUGCAAGUCGAGCGGGCUAAUCUGCGAUUACAUCAAGGGUUAGCUAGCGGCAGACGAGUGAGUAACACGUAAGCAACCUUCCCUGGAAUGGGGGAUAACGCACCGAAAGGUGUGCUAAUACCCCGUACUAUCCCUGAACGGCAUCGUUUGAGGAUGAAAGGCUCCGGCCGAUCCAGGAGGGGCUUGCGUCCCAUCAGCUAGUUGGCGGGGUAAUGGCCCACCAAGGCGACGACGGGUAGCUGGUCUGAGAGGAUGGCCAGCCACAUUGGGACUGCGACACGGCCCAGACUCCUACGGGAGGCAGCAGUGGGGAAUAUUGCGCAAUGGACGAAAGUCUGACGCAGCGACGCCGCGUGUGGGAUGAAGCUCUUCGGGGUGUAAACCACUGUUGCCCGGGACGAAAUGCCCUUUCGAGGGAAUUGACGGUACCGGGUGAGGAAGCACCGGCUAACUCUGUGCCAGCCGCCGC